AGGGGCUUAGCUCAGUUGGUAGAGCACCGGUCUCCAAAACCGGGUGUCGCAGGUUCGAGCCCUGUAGCCCCUGCCA
RNAcentral lists this transfer RNA (76 nucleotides) under Abditibacteriota bacterium. RNAcentral's name for it is "tRNA-Trp". It matches the Rfam family "tRNA". Rfam says of the family: Transfer RNA (tRNA) molecules are approximately 80 nucleotides in length. Their secondary structure includes four short double-helical elements and three loops (D, anti-codon, and T loops). The record is from RNAcentral. Lineage: Bacteria; Pseudomonadati; Abditibacteriota.